Long non-coding RNA from Gastrolobium bilobum, 3056 nucleotides. RefSeq lists it as uncharacterized. The transcript has 3 exons. The record is from RefSeq and is a predicted model, not a curated record. NCBI's taxonomy places the organism in Eukaryota, Viridiplantae, Streptophyta, Magnoliopsida, Fabales, Fabaceae.
CUCUUCAAAACUCUGGAACUGUAAAUGUUUCGGGAGAUUUUUUUUCUUUUUAAAAAAAAAAAUGAAAGAAAAGUUAUAGUGUUGCUAAUUAGUAAUUAGCAUGCAAAAUCAAACCACGUUUACGAUUUCUUGUUCCAAUUAGGUUGGAGUUGGAGGCAUUGCCAUUGAGCGAGUAAACAACAAACACAACAGUUUCAACUGAUUUUCUGCUUCUUUCUGGAAAAUAACCCGCCAUCCAUCUGAGGAGGCUUGGUGCAACUGCUGGAGUUGUCGCAGUGUGACCCGUAUCAUCAGGGUGCCCUUUAUUUAUAUUUCUAUUUUGAUAGACUCAUCUAGGGUGCAGGGAAGAUGAUGCUUUUGCAUAUAUAGAUUGUGUUCUUUUGUUUUCAUUUUCUUGUGAAUUUUGUCGUCGACAAACCUGCUCACUUUGGUGUUUUAAUGUUUAAUGUGCUUCUAUUCUCUUCAAAUCAUUUUCUCUGUUACUCACUGGUCCAUUGGUCAGGCAGUAGGAUGCCAGAAGAAAUGAUUCCAUUAGAGAAACAUAUGAUCUACUUAGUUUUAGCGAGAUACAUAAAAAAAUAUCCAAAUCAUAAGAAAAUGGCCCUUAAUAACUGCCUGGAGUUCUUUUGCAUUAAAUAAAUUGAGGCCUAUGUAAAGCAUAAUAUUUAACGAAUGUUUCUUCAAUAUGAAUCAUUAAGAUAUAUUGAUCUCAUUUCAAUAUUAACAUUGGUUGGUAACUCAUAAAAAUUUCUCUUUGUUAUGACGUUUGUACCAUUUAUGCCUUGUUUUGUUUUACCUGCUACAUGAAACAUUGUUAAAAUAAUAUGAUAUAGUACUCAAAUCUAAUUUCAAAUACCAUUCCAAAAUCAUGUUCAACCAUCGAGUGUUACCAACUCCAAUAAAUUGGCAUGCAUCUUUGAUAAACUUAUGUUUAAUUCUGGCUACAAAAAAGAAAAUAAUCAGAAUUCCCUGGAACCAAAGUAUGGUUUGUAUGACCGGGUUAUAGUUUCCUCCCCUUGACAAGCAUUUCUCUGAGAGUUUAUAGACAGGGUAUUUUAGUUUAUUAACUAACUUUAUAUGUUGUGAUAAUGUCAUUCCUUCCUAGAUGUGGCAUAUGCUGUGAACUAAUUGAUAUCAUAAUUGCUAUCAUUUGGGGAGGUAUCAGUGUGAAAGAGACAGGUGAAGCAGGGUAUAAUGCAGUAGCAAUUGUAAAGGUGUUAUCAUGUUUAAUUCUACUUUUGUGUAAUCUGACUAUGAUCCUUAUAUUAGAUUCCAGUAUAAUUUAUUUAUCUAAGUAUUGUCUAUAUAUAUAUAUAUAUAUAUAGGUUGCUUAUACUUAAAAUAAAUUUAUGCUUACAACCCCUAUUACUGUUAGAUUAAUAGUGGAGGUGAGUGAGAGGUUAGACAUGUUAGAUCUAAAUUUGGUCCGACGGUAAUAGAUAUAGUUGUAAGAAGUUGUAAGCAUAAACUGGUAGUAAGUAUAAUCAGCCUCAUAUAUAUAUAUGUAUAUAUGUGUGCGUGUAAGUAUUUUUAUUGUUUGGAAGGAUAGAUGAUGUUAGAUAAUAUAUUCUAACCAUAUUCAGGAUCAAUAUAAAGGAUAACAGAUGCAAAAUGUGGCGGCAUAAGAUUCCUUUAUUUUGUAUAAUAAAUUUUGUAUGCGAGUCACUACAUGUUUCCUUAGAACUUUCUUCUAUCUCUGUUCUUUAAUAGCUGUAAAGAACCAAUUCAACCCAAAAGCUUAAGCUGUUGGGUGAGGCUACAUUAAUGGUUUUAUAUAUCUCAACACAUCCCCUCACACGAGAGCCCACUGGGCUUGAAGGGUGGACAAUGCACAUGCCCACCUACCUGUGCGAACAAAGAAAUUCCACUUGAAAGAAAGUGGGGGGCGGUGAGGAUCGAACCUGGGACACGAGGCUCUGAUACCAUGUAAAGAACCAAUUCAACCCAAAAACUUAAGCUGUUGGAUGAGGUUACAUUAAUGCUUUUAUAUAUCUCAACAAUAGCUAUUGAGGAUUAUUAGAGAUCUAAAAGACUAAAACUGUUUUAUAGAUUUACUGAAUAGAGACCAUAGGGGUAUAGCUUGGCCUAGAAUGGUCACUGAUACGUAAUCUUUUUAGUUUUACUUGUUAUACAAAAAAAAAAAAAAAAAAAGACUAAAACCAUACUUGUUUCUCCACCCAACAGCUUAUGCUUUUAAUAAUAAUAAGGAUCUAUGACAUGCUAGUAGAGCUUAUAUGACCAUGUCAGGAGUUUCAAGUGGGCUCUUUCAUGAGGGGCCUUGUUGGUGUUACAAAAGGCCAUUCUUGAGCCUUCACCUAAUAACUUUAGCUAUUGGGAGAGAUGGUCUUGGUCUUUGAAAAGGGUUAAAUGUCAAAGUCUUUCAUAAUGCUUAUAUUAUUUUUUCGUAGUCAAAACCUAGAAAGAUAUGAAAUUUUUAAAUGGCUCUCUCUUUCUGUCUUCUUCACUCACAUGUGCACACAAUCUAUGUCAAACCAUACAAAAGACUCUGGGAAAACCUCUAAACCCAUCAACUUAGCUCCACCUGUUGUAAACACUGGGAUGGCGCUCACAACUGGAGAGCUGUCUAUGUUCUAUGGGCUUAAGGCCUCUAGAAUAAUCAAUGUUUCUAUUGAAACUUUAAGUGAAAUGGUGAUCUCAAACGAAAAUGAAAGACCAAGUUCUGGUAUUGCUGAUGAGGGAAAGGCUGUUCCUUCUGAGUCCAAAGCUUUCAUCUGAAGGAUCUGGUUUCCAGGAGACGAAUGAUCCUCAGAACUGUAGCUCUUCUGGUGCUGUCAAUAACGUGGAUGUCAAUCAACCUACUGAAGUUUUGGUUAAUUCAUCGGAAUCUGAAAACCCGAUUGGAUCAGAUGCUUGUUGAACAACUUAGCUGGAAUAGAUGGAAAAGGAAGUCUGACAUGAUUAGACUUUCUCGGCCUGAGAAUUAACUGGUAAUGCUAGGCACCUGAUUUGACUUAAGUGUUAUUGGAAUGGAAUAGACAUUCCGCUUUAAAGUUUCUUAUAUAUCUGGAUGGUUUUUUUCUUUUGAAGUAUUGUCC